AAAAAAAUGAAAAUAUAAAAAAAACUUUGCUGGAUUUACAUUGCUGAUGACGGUUGAAACGCAUCAUCACAGUCUGUGAAAAGGUCAAUUUAUUUGUGUUCUGUAGCUUUCAAUAAAAAUUAAAUAACAACAAAGUAUAUAUUUCUGCUGUUUGCCAAAGGCAGUAUAUUGUACAUUUAGUAAGAAAUGUGUUCAGCAUUAUGCGUCAAAAAAAAAAAAAAAAAAAAAAAAUAUUGCGCCAUUUUGUGAUGGCUUAGUUGGCAGUCUUUUUCUAGGAGUGCUGGAGUGCGCUGCAGCGGGCUAAGUUACAACUGCGAUCCUGAAUAGCUGGCAGGUGUUCUUCUACCAUUCAGAAGCCAUGGGGUCGUGUCAGGGCGCCGGUCCUUCGUCUCAGCUGGAUACGGCCCGGAUCCGGUUGAAUACGAGGCUCUUAAGAACAACCCCCUGAUGGGGUUAACUCCAAGGUUAACUUGCAAGAAGCGGAGAGGGCACUGUCGAAGUGGUUUACUGGAGCAAGAGACAGAGGGCAGCGAGAAUGCACCAAAAGUUGGCUGUAGCUUAAAGGGAUAGUUCACCCAAAAAUGAAGAUUCUGUCAUAAUUUACUCUACAUCAAGUUGUUCCAAACCUGUAUAAAUUUCUUUGUUCUGCUGUACAGAAAUGAUGUUUCGUAAAUGAUGACAAAAGUAGAUGAUAGCAAAUGAUGACAGACUUUUCAUUUUUGGUGAACUAUCCCUUUAUGGUUGAGUUGUAUGGCUUCUGUUGUAGUUCUUGUAUUGAAGUACUUUAUUAUAGUUGUAGUUUUGUGCCAUUAAAUAAAACUGAAAU
Megalobrama amblycephala (Wuchang bream) is the source of this 826-nucleotide long non-coding RNA. RefSeq lists it as uncharacterized. The record is from RefSeq and is a predicted model, not a curated record. NCBI's taxonomy places the organism in Eukaryota, Metazoa, Chordata, Actinopteri, Cypriniformes, Xenocyprididae. The transcript is spliced from 4 exons.